This 253-nucleotide ribosomal RNA is filed under the name uncultured bacterium. RNAcentral describes it as "partial 16S ribosomal RNA". It matches the Rfam family "Bacterial small subunit ribosomal RNA", at positions 524 to 776 of the family's 1533-position model. The record is from RNAcentral.
UACGAAGGGGACUAGCGUUGUACGGAUUUACUGGGCGUAAAGCGCGCGUAGGCGGAUCGCUAAGUCAGGGGUGAAAUCCCAGGGCUCAACCCUGGAACUGCCUUUGAUACUGACGAUCUGGAGAUCGGGAGAGGUUGGUGGAAUUCCGAGUGUAGAGGUGAAAUUCGUAGAUAUUCGGAGGAACACCAGAAGCGAAGGCGGCCAACUGGCCCGAUACUGACGCUGAGGCGCGAAAGCGUGGGGAGCAAACAGG